AUGCACGCUGGCGGCGUGCCUAAUACAUGCAAGUCGAGCGAACGGACGAGAAGCUUGCUUUUCUGAUGUUAGCGGCGGACGGGUGAGUAACACGUGGAUAACCUACCUAUAAGACUGGGAUAACUUCGGGAAACCGGAGCUAAUACCGGAUAAUAUUUUGAACCACAUGGUUCAAAAGUGAAAGACGGUCUUGCUGUCACUUAUAGAUGGAUCCGCGCUGCAUUAGCUAGUUGGUAAGGUAACGGCUUACCAAGGCAACGAUGCAUAGCCGACCUGAGAGGGUGAUCGGCCACACUGGAACUGAGACACGGUCCAGACUCCUACGGGAGGCAGCAGUAGGGAAUCUUCCGCAAUGGGCGAAAGCCUGACGGAGCAACGCCGCGUGAGUGAUGAAGGUCUUCGGAUCGUAAAACUCUGUUAUUAGGGAAGAACAUAUGUGUAAGUAACUGUGCACAUCUUGACGGUACCUAAUCAGAAAGCCACGGCUAACUACGUG
Molecule: ribosomal RNA, 496 nt
Filed under: uncultured bacterium
Lineage: Bacteria
Description: partial 16S ribosomal RNA
Rfam family: Bacterial small subunit ribosomal RNA
Source: RNAcentral